AUGGUCAAGUUACUAAGAGCAUAUGGCGGAUGCCUUGGCGCUCAGAGGCGAUGAAGGACGUGGGUGGCUGCGAUAAGCCACGGGGAGGAGUUAACCAUCCCGUGAUCCGUGGAUCUCCGAAUGGGAAAACCCAAUACCGGACCAGGUCUCCUGGCACCGAGUAUUACUCUGAAUAAGAGAGCGAACCUGGGGAACUGAAACAUCUCAGUACCCAGAGGAAAAGAAAUCAAACGAGAAUCCCCUAGUAGCGGCGAGCGAAGCGGGACGAGCCUAAACCGUGUAUGUGUAAGUUUGCCGACGUUGCAUGCACGGCGUUGUGGGGCCUUAUUGGAGGAAUCGGCAAGUUCCUCGGAAAGUUACAAAUCGCUUUGAUAGUGGAACCGUCCUGGAAAGGCGGACCAUAGAGAGUGACAGUCUCGUACACGAAAUUGAAGCGACUUUCUGGAUAAGGUACCCGAGUACGGCGGGACACGUGGAAUCCUGCUGGAAUCUGGGAGGACCAUCUUCCAAGGCUAAAUACUACUGAGCGACCGAUAGUGAACUAGUACCGUGAGGGAAAGGUGAAAAGUACCCCCGAUAGGGGAGUGAAAUAGUACCUGAAACCGUAUGCUUACAAGCAGUUCGAGGGCUAUGGCCUUAUGGCAAUGCCUGAGAGCGUACCUUUUGCAUAAUGAGCCAACGAGUUGCUGCUCUGUAGCAAGGUUAAGUCGAAGGAGACGUAGCCGUAGCGAAAGCGAGUCUGAAUAGGGCGUUUAGUUGCAGGGCGCAGACCCGAAACCAGGUGAUCUAUCCAUGGGCAGGGUGAAACGUGGGUAAAACCACACGGAGGCCCGAACUCACCGGCGUUGAAAAGCCGGGAGAUGACCUGUGGAUAGGAGUGAAAGGCUAAUCAAACCUGGAGAUAGCUGGUUCUCCCCGAAACAUAUUGAGGUAUGGCCUCGGUGAAAUCAGGAGCGGCGGUAAAGCACUGGAUGGGCUAGGGGGCCUACAAGCUUACUAAACCCAACCAAACUCUGAAUUCCGUUCGCUGUUACACCGGGAGACAGUCCGCGGGUGAUAAGAUCCACGGGCGAGAGGGAAAGACCCCAGACCGCCAGCUAAGGUCCCAAAGCGCGCGCUAAGUGGUGAAGGAUGUGAAGUCGCGUAAACAACCAGGAGGUUGGCUUAGAAGCAGCCAUCCUUUAAAGAAAGCGUAACAGCUCACUGGUCGAACGUGAUUUUGCGCCGAAGAUUCAACGGGGCUAAGCGCGCCGCCGAAGCUGCGGAUUGCCGUUAUUUAUGUAACGGCACUGGUAGGGGAGCAUUGGAGUUACCGAUGAAGGUUGACCGAGAGGACAGCUGGAGGCCCUCCAAGAGAUUAUGUUGGCAUGAGUAGCGAUAAACCGGGUGAGAAACCCGGUCGCCGAAAACCCAAGGGUUCCCUGGCACGGGUAAUCCGCCAGGGGUUAGUCGGGCCCUAAGCCGAGGCCGAGAGGCGUAGGCGAUGGAAAACAGGUUAAUAUUCCUGUACCACUUCGAUGCGAAUGAAGCUAGAGGGGACGGAGAAGGGUAGGUACCGCCAGCGGAUGGAUGUGCUGGUUCAAGCAGGUAGGGGGUUCUUCCAGGAGGCAAAAUGCCACAAACGGAGGGACUUAACCCCGAGAUGUGAUGAGCUUAUCAAUGCUUCGGCUGCGAUAUGACGGGCUGAUCCCACGCUUCCAAGAAAAGCCUCGAGCGGACAAUUCGGGGUGCCCGUACCGUAAACCGACACAGGUGGGUCAGGUGAGUAACCUAAGGCGCUUGAGAGAAUCCUCCUUAAGGAACUCUGCAAAUUGCCACCGUAACUUCGGAAGAAGGUGGGCCUGGAAUCGUGUAGGGACUUGCUCCCGAAGCGAAGCUGGGCCGCAGAUAGCAGGGGGUAGCGACUGUUUACCAAAAACACAGCACUCUGCAAAGUCGUAAGACGACGUAUAGGGUGUGACGCCUGCCCGGUGCCGGAAGGUUAAGGGGAGAUGUUAGGGCAACCGAAGCAUUGAACCGAAGCCCCGGUAAACGGCGGCCGUAACUAUAACGGUCCUAAGGUAGCGAAAUUCCUUGUCGGGUAAGUUCCGACCUGCACGAAUGGCGUAACGACUUCCCCACUGUCUCGAGGAGGAACUCAGCGAAAUUGGAGUCUCGGUGCAGAUACCGAGUUCCCGCGGCAAGACGGCAAGACCCCGGAACCUUUACUGCAACUUGGCAGUGAGCAUUGCGUUUGCAUGUGUAGGAUAGGUGGGAGACGUUGAAGCAGGGGCGCUAGCCUCUGUGGAGUCAUCCUUGAAAUACCACCCUUGCACGCGCGGUGUUCUAACUCUCGUCAGUUAGCCUGGCGGAGGACAUUGCCUGGUGGGUAGUUUGACUGGGGCGGUCGCCUCCUAAAGUGUAACGGAGGCGUACAAAGGUUCCCUCAGCCUGAUUGGAAACCAGGCGUUGAGUGCAAAGGCAAAAGGGAGCUUGACUGCGAGACUUACAAGUCGAGCAGAUGCGAAAGCAGGUCUUAGUGAUCCGGUGGUCCCGCAUGGAAGGGCCAUCGCUCAUCGGCUAAAAGGUACUCUGGGGAUAACAGGCUGAUCACGCCUAAGAGUUCAUAUCGACGGCGUGGUUUGGCACCUCGAUGUCGGCCCAUCGCAUCCUGGGGCUGGAGCAGGUCCCAAGGGUCCGGCUGUUCGCCGGUUAAAGCGGUACGCGAGCUGGGUUCAGAACGUCGUGAGACAGUUCGGUCCCUAUCUGCCGCGGGUGUAGGAUUCUUGAGAGAAGCUGCCCUUAGUACGAGAGGACCAGGGUGGACGAACCUCUGGUGUACCGGUUGUCGCGCCAGCGGCACUGCCGGGUAGCUACGUUCGGAACGGAUAACCGCUGAAAGCAUCUAAGUGGGAAGCCGGUCUCAAAACUAGGAAUCCCGGACGUAAGUCCCUGAAGACCCCUCGGAGACUACGAGGUUGAUAGGCCACAGGUGUAAGCGUAGUAAUACGUUCAGCCGAGUGGUACUAAUAGGUCGUGAGACUUGACCAU
RNAcentral lists this ribosomal RNA (3030 nucleotides) under Oligoflexales bacterium. RNAcentral's name for it is "23S ribosomal RNA". It matches the Rfam family "Bacterial large subunit ribosomal RNA". Lineage: Bacteria; Pseudomonadati; Bdellovibrionota; Oligoflexia; Oligoflexales. The record is from RNAcentral.